This 78-nucleotide transfer RNA is filed under the name Citrobacter farmeri. RNAcentral's name for it is "tRNA-Met". It matches the Rfam family "tRNA". From Rfam's summary of the family: Transfer RNA (tRNA) molecules are approximately 80 nucleotides in length. Their secondary structure includes four short double-helical elements and three loops (D, anti-codon, and T loops). Further hydrogen bonds mediate the characteristic L-shaped molecular structure. tRNAs have two regions of fundamental functional importance: the anti-codon, which is responsible for specific mRNA codon recognition, and the 3' end, to which the tRNAs corresponding amino acid is attached (by aminoacyl-tRNA synthetases). tRNAs cope with the degeneracy of the genetic code in two manners: having more than one tRNA (with a specific anti-codon) for a particular amino acid; and 'wobble' base-pairing, i.e. permitting non-standard base-pairing at the 3rd anti-codon position. Lineage: Bacteria; Pseudomonadati; Pseudomonadota; Gammaproteobacteria; Enterobacterales; Enterobacteriaceae. RNAcentral also lists the same sequence under 1 other name. The record is from RNAcentral.
GGGCCGGAAGCUCAUUUGGUAUGAGCGGUCCCCUCAUAAGGGAAUGGUAGACAGGUUCGAAUCCUUCACGGCCCACCA